AAGGCGAAGGGCUGCGGGUGGAGGUGGCGUUGCCGCUCGGCUCCGGCGGCUGCUCCAGGGAAUGACAGGGACCACUGGCGGCCGGUGCUGGUGGGCAGCUGGUGCUUCUGGUUGUGGCGUGAGGACACUUUGGCCGUGUGACGUGCCGGGUCUGGCCGCGGCGAUGGGAAGGCACCGCUCGCGCUGUGCCCGUGUUCUACAGACCUUGCAGUCGCGGUGCGUCAGGCUGCGAUCCUGCCGGACCCUCGGGGAUCUGGUUUCAUCGGUGCCGAGUGGGUCCGAGUCUCUCUGUGGCUCUGCGGGAGCAGCCAGGGCCGGUGAAGGUGAUCUCAGCAGCCUGUGCCGGAUCCUGCCAGGACAGGACCGUGUCUGGCCGCCAUGCUCUGCUUCCCAGGGGCUUCACCUUGCGUGUCAGAGCUCUCCGCAGCUCCCACAGGAACUUAUUUCUCUCCAGUUGCAUCAUUUGCAGAGAAGGAGACCUCAGCGUGUUGGUAAAUGCGGGAUCUGCGCGGGGGCGCGGGCAAGCACGAGAUUGACAGGAGCUGCCACCUGGUUUCUGACUCCGCCGUUGAGAGCAUCUACAGGUACCAAUGCCAAAGCAGGGUGGGGAUUGUGAAGACAGGGACCAGACAUCAUGGGUGUUGAUGGGACUGGGCCCACGUGAAGCUCCUGAAGUUCAGCCAGGCCACGUGUGAGGUCCCACAGCUGGAUCAAGGCAACCCCGGUAUCCUGCAAAGAACAACCCUGUGGAGGAGGACUCGGUGGUGCUGGUGGGUCUGGAGAGACCUUAGUGUGGUUUUUCAAUACAUACUGGGGGCUUGUACAGAAGAUGGAGAGAGACUUUUUACCAGAGAAGUAAAGAGGGUGGGUUUAGAUUGGACAGCGGGGAGAAAUGUUUUAUGGUGAGUGUGGUGAGACACUGGGAUGGGUUCUUCAGAGGAGCUGUGGAUGCCCCAUCGCUGCAAGUGUUCAUGGCCAGGCUGGACGGGGCUCUGAGCAGCCUGAGCUGGUGAAGAUGUCCCUGCCCAUGGCAGGGGUGGCACUGGGGAGCUGGGAAGGUCCCUUCAACCCAAACCAUUCUGUGGGUCUAUGAUCUCUGCACACAUAUCCUGUGAGAACAGUUCUGCUGUUUCACUUGUCCCAGUUCAGGUACAACCACAUUGAUAAAGGCUCAUUGCGAUUUUGGGGGAGUGAUUUAAGGUCUGGAUCUGCAGGAAAACAUCUCAUGUCUGGUCUAAGAGGAAACGUUGGCCAUGUUCCAUCAGCCUCCUGGGCACAGCAAGAUGACUUCCCUUGGGCUGGGACACUCAUGGGUGAGGAGAAGAAUGGAGUCUGUGUGGUGAGGAGUGGGAACGUGGUUUUAUCUCUUGAAGAAGCAUCUGAGGAUGAGCCAGUGACCGGCGCAGGGUGGAGGAUGGUGAUGAGAGCGGCCUCGUGCUGUCCUUGUCUCCCAAAAGCUGCAGAGAUGCUGCUGAAUGGGUCUGGAGGACAAGCCCAGAGCAGAGGGCUGUGCUGGCCGUGGGAGGGCAGCUGUGCCCGGGACGGAGGGGACGAGUUCUUGCAGGCCUGGGGACAAACCCUGCCUGGGAACGGAGCAGCUUGUUCAGAGUGAAACAGGAACGGCCGCAACGUGACUCAGCCCAACCUUUGGUCCCCGGCAGCGUGUCCUCUGGGUAACCCGGCGCUGCUCCCGCUCCGCGUCUGGGAUGGAGCGGGAGGGACCUUCUCUCCCGUGCAUACGUGCGGUGGAGCAGCCGGGCGGUUUCGUUGUACCUCCCUGGCUGGAUUAAAGAGCACUUGAACAACAAGUAUUUUCGCCUCGCUGCGGUGCCUCGGUGCCACCUCUCGCCCCUCCUUCUGCUUUUGUGCUCUUUGAACAUCUCGCUGGAGGGUUUCGCAGCCCUCCCGUCUGCGCCGGCUGGAGGAAAGAGCUUUGCUUUGGGGUUUUCACGUCUGCAGGAGUUGCCGUGGUAUGCACGGGCAAGGUCACCCUUGCUCCUGUGUCUGGCGCUGCUGGUGGACGUGGCCCAUGGGCUCAGUGGGAGAUGUUUUGCCGGUGUGACCCCACAGCUCUUGUGGUUGCCGCUUUCCUUGGGAACCAAAUCUCCCGAACGCCCUUUUUCUCAACACAUAUCCAGCUCUGUGGCAUGUCCUGACUUGUUAUGUACUCGCCUUGAGCCCGCUGCUACCAGUGCAUCGGGACACGAGCGAUAACGUCGCCAGGGAUCGGGCUGAUGGUGACGAAACCUGUUGGCAACAACCUCUCCGAGACCUUCCAGGGUCUCCGGGGUGGAACAGGCCGCGGGUGCAGGUUUCCCUGGGGCUGCCAUUCGCCAGCUCCCAGAGCCCCAAAAGGUAUUUUUGGGGCCACCAGCGGGAGCAAGAGAAACAAGCACGUGCUGAUGGACCCGUGUCCGGAGCACGGGCACCAGAACCAGGUCUGGUUUGGGAGGGAACGGCCGCGCUGGGCGAGCGGCCGCGCUCAGCAAAAUGGCCGUGCAGGGCGCAGCGGGGCUCGGCGAGCCGCUUUGUGCCGCCGGCCGCGUUCCCGUCCCGCGGGUGGGUUCCCGGGGCGGCGAACGCCCCCGCCAGCCCCGCUCCGCCGUGCUGCUGCCCCGGCACCCGCGCGCUGGGGCGGCUCGCCCGGCUGCGGACCUUCGGCAUUAAACAAAAGAGCCUCCCAGCUCUUGGCUGCUGCUCCGGCUUUGUUUUGAUUGAGAGGUUGUUCAGCAGGAGGAGGGCGCAUGGGUUGGUUUUUUUUUCCCCUCCUGACGAGCGUCCAGAUGCGACGCUGCUGCAAGCAAGGGAAAGGCAAACAGAAGCUGCUGGAGACUCGGCAGCUCUGAAAAGCCUCUCCGGGUCACGUGCGCUGCGGCGAGGAGGGUGGAUUUGGCCAUGUCCCUCCGUGCCAUAGGGGAUAAAAGCCAGGGGUGCAUUGUUUUGACCCUGAAUUUCCCCCUCUGAGCGGAGAUCGCAGGCUUUGGCUGUCGGGUCGGGGACACCGCAGUGGUGUGAAGAUACAUUUCUGGUUCCCUGGGGGCCAGUGUGGCCUUGGAAAUGGUGCUUUUGUGUUGUUGUUAAGACAUUUUUGCUGGGAGGGCCGAGGAUUGGAUGUGCCAAGGUGACUCCAGCUUGGAGAGGCAAGAUCUACCAGGUCCAGCCCAACAGGAGGCGGCCGCAGACCCUCCUGGGGACAUUUCUGCACGUUAGGUGUUGCGUUUCCUUCUGGGUUUGUAUCUCAUAGAAAGAGGGACGCGUGGGAGCUGCCGUGCCUAGGGCUUGAGCCUUCCGUGCUCGCAAAAAACCACCCAAAACACACCAAAGCAGCUUUUCCCACCCCAAACGUCAAGACGUUUGACGCGAGGCUUCAGCAAAGCCCAGGCUGCCCUGACCGAGGAUGGAGAGGCCUCCUCGGCCUCAUGUGUGGCAGACGUGUGUGUGAUCUGGACCCAGAAGUGACAGGUAGCGCCCAGCCUGGGUUCACUUGCCUCGGGGCUGGAUUUUGGGGAGGAAAACUUCCCAACGGAGGCGUUUGGGUGAAACCACCCUUUCCCUUGCAGCUCGCUCUGGUCUCCAGGGCUGCCUCAACCCUGCCAUUCCUUUUCCCCUGGGAUUUUUCGGGCAAACGCUUGGGGUGGAUACCUGCUCAUACCCCGAAUCCGGGCAGAAGUGAUUUUCCUGCCCGCUCAGUGCUGUGUCCCCCUUGUUCUGCAGGGAAUGGCGCUGACAGUGAUGUGGGGUGCAGCGACACAGGGAUGCAGUGACAGGGGGUGUGGUGACAUGGGCGUGGGGCGACAGGGGGUGCAUUGUCACGGGGCUGCAGCGACAUGGGCUGCAGGGACACAGGGGUGCAGUGACAGGGGGUGCAUUGUCAUGGGGCUGCAGGGAGACAGGGUGCAUUGAUAUGGGGGUGCAGUGACACGGGGUGCAGGCAGCUGCCUCUCGCCAUGGUUUUUGUCCCCGGCCGGGCUGGGAUGAGCUGCUGACAGGGCCGUGCUGGGAGGUUUUGGGAACAGCACCACUCGGUUCCUUAUCGGCCCCGGAGCUUCUGCCGCGGGAACAAGGCGCGAGGGGCACGCGGCCAACUCGUGUCAAGAGCUACAAAGGAGGAAAUUGGCCUCGUUCACUUAAAACCAUGGGGUUAGUCUUUGAGUUUUGGCUCCUGCUGAGAAGUUAUUUAUAUGCGGGCUUUUAUUAUUUUAUUUUUUUUUAAUAACUGCUGGAUGUAGCAGCUUCAGCCGAUCCCACCUCUGAAGGCAAAAUUGCAUCUCUCCCUGUUUGCUUUCCCGGCUGGCAGCGUGAGGAAGGACUAGUUAAGGGGUGAGUUAGUUGUGCUGCCCGACCCACCGGCAUUACCGGAUCCCAGUUAAUCGCUCGUUGAGCCCAAUCGCAGCCCCAUCCCCACCAGAGCGGGAAGCAGGACCUGUGGCAGCAGGUACCGGAGCUGGGGAAGCAGAGAAAAGGGCGCUGAUGGAGGGGACGGCUCCUCCGGGGGGUCUGCGCCGCAUCCUCGGCACGGCCGAGCUGCACACCUGACACUGUGAUUAGAAAUGCUGAUGAAAAGGCCGGUGGGUGAUUGAUCCUGCUGACUCACGGACCUGAUUUCUCCUGCGAUGGCGAGGGGAACGCUGGAGAUGGGUCAGAUUUUGAGGCUAAUCGGCCUGGGUAGACUCAUGUUUGUUACUUUGCUUCCAGGCUGGCGGUGGUUGCUCAUUAGCCUAAUGACCCCGGUUACCCAGCACCAUUUAUCUCUCCGAGUGAGAUUGCUUUAAAGGAAGAUUCGUGCGUCUCCGAAAGCUUCAAAACCCGGCGGCUGUGCCGGGGAGGUGAUGUAGGGGGAUGUGCCAGGAAUAACCUGCUAAUGAGCAAAGCUGCUCCAACCACUGGAAAGGGCUGGGGAGCAAAGCACCGUCUGCUUGUCCCUUCCUCCGCUUUUCCAGCGUGGUUUGGUGGGGAUUUGCCACCUUCUCCCUGUUUCCUGCAGGCUUUGUGCCGCUGUUUUCCCAAUGUUUGCCGUGCAAACACGGUGCUGUGUUCCUCUGACGGUGAUUUUCGGGCUGUGAAAUCCAUCCCACCUGCGAGUCCUUGUGCAGCUGGAGAUUGCAAUGGACUUUCUGUGGUGACUCAUCGGGGUCUUCCCACCUCGUGGUGGUCGUGGAGUCCUCAUUUCGCUGCAAGAGCAAAGCCGCCCUGGGUCUCGCAGGAGUUGGAGAGCCGGGGAGACACAGCCCAGGGCUGGAAAAAGAAUCGCCGGGCUCUGAGAUGAUUUAAUGCCACCAGCAGCCUGAUGAUACGUUGUAUUUGGUGACAACAUCUGCUGGAGAUAUUCCUGUCGCUGUUACUCACUCCUGCCCACGGAGCAGCGCGGGGGGCUGAGCUGCUGGAAUAGAAUAAAGGGGUUUUGUGGGCCGGGGCAGCGGGGGACACGGCUUUGCCGGCCGGUGUUGGGGUGUAAGGGCCUCUCGCGGGGCUGGCGGUGGCUUUGGCCAGCACCUCUUCUUGUCCCUUGUCCCCUGGCUGAGCGGUGCUGUGGGCAGGAUAAAUCCCUUUGCAGGGAGACGUUAACCACAAAGCUUUUGUACGGUGGAGUAACAGCACGUGCUUCUGUCUGCUGAUGUUCCCCCUGUGCUUGGACUGAAUUUAGUUUAAAACUCGGUGUCUAGAUAUAUUGUAAAAUAUUGUCUGGCCCUCGUUCUCUUGGGGUCUGGUGAAGAUGGUGAGCAAGCCUGCCCCUCAGCAUUAAUUCUGGUCACGGCGUGGAGGUUGCCACAUUUUACAUCUCGUCAAGGGGAUGGGAUGUGAUACAACUCAAAACGGUGUUUUGCCCGGUGCGAGGGACCAGGAGGAGCUGUGCGGGCUCUGCGCUGCCCUUCCUUAGUGCUGGAGCCUCCGUGCCUCAGUUUCCCAUGCGUGGAUCAGAUGCCCCAUUAGGUGCUUUGUCGAGCAGAAGCACCCAAGUGCUCUGGCUGGAGAACACACCAUCACAGCUACAAACCCUGUGCUGAUGUUGUGUUUCCUUUGCUUUUUUCCCCCAUGUCAGCAAGUAAUUUCACCCUGGGAAGCUCGCUCCCCAAUUAGCGAUGUAAAUGCAAUGUUGUGAUUUUUUUUUCCCCAGGUGCUAUGCAAACGAACGCUGUUCCCAGCCUCCUCCCGCUUGCCUCCCCAUCCCUCCCUCCGCUUGCUGGGAUGCGGGAACGUGGCCUCCCGCCCUGGGAACAGCCCCGUUCACCCGUUGCACAGGGGGCUGGUUAUGGAGUGAACCCUGUGGCGGCACCGGCCUGGGGUUCAACCUGUGAAACAGGAUCCCGUGCUGGGGCUUGGUCCUGCGUUCAAGUACGUUUGGGCUGGAGGAAGCAGAGCAGCCUGUGUGUGUGACAGUGGUGGGGUUGUGUUGUCCCAAAGGGGUUUGUUCUCUAGGAUAUCUACAAAAUAAUCGGUGCUGCUAACGCCAGUGUUGGUGCCGGGAUGGCACAUUGUGGCAGAGGGGCUGCUAUGUCCUCGCAGUCCCACGCUGAGCAUCGUGCGCACCGAGAGCCACUGCUAACGUGAUUAUUCCAGCUCCGAGUGUUUCACAGAAUCCCAGAAUGUGAGGGGCUGGAAGGGGCCUGGAAAGCUCACCCAGUGCAAUCCCCCCAUGGAGCAGGAACACCCAGAUGAGGUUACACAGGAAGGUGUCCAGGCGGGUUGGAAUGUCUGCACAGAAGGAGACUCCACAACCCCCCUGGGCAGCCUGGGCCAGGCUCUGCCACCCUCACCCCAAACAAGUUUCUUCUCAGAUUUCAGUGGAACCUCCUGUGUUCCAGUUUGCACCCAUUGCCCCUUGUCCUGUCACUGGUUGUCACCAGAAGAGCCUGGCUCCAUCCUCCUGACACUCCCCCUUUCCAUAUUGAUCCCCAGGAAUGAGUCCCCCCUCAGUCUCCUCUUGUCCAGCUCCAGAGCCCCAGCUCCCUCAGCCUUUCCUCACACGGGAGAUGCUCCACUCCCUCCAGCAUCUUGGUGGCUGCGCUGGACUCUCUCCAGCAGUUCCCUGUCCUGCUGGAACUGAGGGGCCACAGCUGGACACAAUAUUCCAGGUGUGGUCUCCCCAGGGCAGAGCAGAGGGGCAGGAGAACCUCUCUGACCUACUGACCACCCCCUUCUAACCCACCCCAGGUACCAUUGGCUUCCUGGCCACAAGGGCCCAGUGCUGGCUCAUGGUCACCCUGCUGUCCCCAGGACCCCCAGGUCCCUUUCCCCUACACUGCUCUCUAAUAGGUCAUUCCCCAACUUACACUGGAACCUGGGGUUGUUCCUGCCCAGAUGUCAGGCUCUACACUUGCCCUUGUUCUAUUUCAUUACAUUUUUCCCUGCUGUGAUGUGGGCAGGAGACAAGCGGGGACGUUGGUGCCGGAGCUGAGCCCUGGCCAUGGAGCGCAGGAGGGAUUGGAAGGAAAGGACGAGCCGGGGCUGAAAAGGAGCCUGUGCGGGGGGAUGGCCGGGCGCCAGGCGGUAACGAAUGGCGGGGAAGAGCCGCGUGUGCUGGCGAAGCCUCUCCCAGACAGGCGGAUCUAUAGGCGGCCUUGUCGGCAGAGCGACGCUUUAGGGCUUCAAGUGCUGUUUGCUGUUCUGCGGCCGGGAGGGGAGGAAGGCACCGUGUAUAUAUAUCACAGAGCCCAGCAGUUUGCUAACAGGAAGGUUUAUUUUUUGCUGAGCAUUAACAUUUCAAGGUACAGGAACUCUGGAGGUAUUUAGUGUUUUAUGGUCUUCCAGGCCGGCUAUUAAUACUUUGUGUACAGGGUGAAGGGAGCUGGAGGGGCUGAGCGUUGAAUGGCCCUUUGAGGGGAGCCAGCCUUUUGGUACAAACCCUACAGCCGCAACCAGAAUGUUUCUCAGCCGCCCUGACCCAGGGGGAGAGAUAAAGCCCUUUGCUAACGGGGAGAGCUGGUGGUUCUGCAGGGACUGGAUCUUGUGUCAAAAAAGCAUCGCGAUGACCGAACGUGCCGUGGCUUUGCCAGUUGCUGCCUGGUUUGCGGACGAGCGUCGUCCCAGGAAAACGCUGUCUCAGCUCUGUCCUGCAGCCCAGGAAAGCAGGAGAUGGUGGUGUUCCCCACAAUGGAUAAUUCGAUGGUAGCGAAUGGGGCAUCAUGUCCGUGUGGGCUCUGUAAGCAGGUUCAGUGUUUGCUCAUUCCCUGAGGCGCGUGGCAUUAAAAAAUGGGAAUUUGGGGAUUUCUGGGCCGUGGGUCCCGGUGCAGAGGGCAGCGGCAGGUCCCGGGCUGUUUGUUCUCAUGCGGACGGUGGCUGUUUUGGGGUUCCCAACACUCCCAGUGUGCUCGAGCCCAGGGGUGAGACCUGAUCCUGAACCAGUGAGCAAAGCUCCUGUUGGCUUCAAUGUGAAGUCAGCAAGGGUGAACGUAAAGAGCAACACCGUCUGCCGUUAAAAUCUCAAUGCGGCCUGCACAAUAGCAAUACUUCUCAUUGUCAGAUGGCAGUGUGCUCGCACAAAGCUUUUCCCAAAGUCCUGGAGCAACAAGAGAUGCCCAUUAGCACUCUGAAGACUGCGCUCUGCUGGCGCGUGGGUCAGAUAAUGUGUUAAUGCUGCUCAAACAGCUUAACUUUAAUUUCUUUCUUCCGCGUAGCAGCAGAUAGUUACAGUGAUGGCAUUUAAAACAAAAAGUCUGAUUAUAGAGUCUGGUCAAAAAUAUACAGCUUGCAGCCACCUUUGAAGCGACAGAAGAGGAAGGAGGCGAUUUCUUAUAUUUCAGGCAGAAGACAGAAGUUGAAGCGAUGCCCUGCGAGCUGCGCACAGGGAAGGGCCAGCCCUGGGACGGGCAUGGGUGAGGUGCACCACGUUUUCCCGGUGUCCUUUGGCCGCAGGAACGAGAGCGACCAGACUUGCAGGUGCCUCUUCUUUCUGGGCAAGAAACCAAGAGCUUCAUCCUCCAGGCCGCCGGAGCAGCCAGAUUUUCUGGGCAAGAGAGGGAUCCAUUUGGUGCAGAUCCCAAGCCUGUGGUGAGGGGUUGGCUCCUCUUUCAAAGCCACUACUGUGAAGCGGAGCAUGUCGAGCUGCGGCAGGGGGCCGGGGUUUUGGUAAACUGGACAUUUCUGGGCGCAGAGACCCGUGUUACGGUGCUGUGCUUUGCUCCUUGCUCAUUGUUCUGCCUUUGUGCGUUGCCCAAAACCCUUUGGUCCCUGGCCAACCUGUUUCAAACGUGGCACUAAAGCAGCACCGGGCAAGAGGGGCCUGGGCAGUGAGGGUUCCAGCGUCCCACCACCCAGCAAGGCCAUUAAAACCCCAUCUCCUCUGGGAGCUGAUGGGCUGAUACAGGAGAUGGGAAGAGAAUCUCUCUCAGUUUUCCGUUGAUCCUACGGAGCCGGCGUGGGAGGCUCAGCCGGGCCGGCUGUGUUGGUGGCUGUUGGCUCUGGCACUCCGGUCCUCUUUACUUCUCAGUUCUAGGAAAUCGAAUAAAGAGAAAACCACUUAGGGGAGGAUUUUAAUCAGAACUUGGCAGGAGAACUUAGAGAAACCCAAGAAAUCUUCAGACGACUGAGAUUGCCGAUGAGCGGAAAGGGCAAAGACUUGGGUGGGUUGGGUUUCUUCUGGCCUGUUUAGUGGGAUCACAUUAGCAUUCCUGACCCCCUGAGCUGAGUGAGAGGAGAAAUCAGUCGUCUUCAACGUGCAAGAGACUUGCUGUCAGCUGGAAAUGAGGCAGAGUCCUCUGGGGUGGUUGAUGGAAGUCAUCCCAGACCUGGAGAUGAUGCCCAGCAUGGCUUGGAGGAGAUGGCUUUGUAGUCAUUGUGGUCUUGCAGAUUGGGGCUGUUGUGUGGUAUGGUUGGGUUUCUUCAAGAAGCUGGUCUUGGCAGGCGUGAGGAUUGGGUUCAUGUGAACCUCAUGAAGUUCAACAAGGCCAAGCGUGAGGUUCUGCAGCUGGGUUGGGGCAACCCCCGGUAUCAAUACAGACUCUGGGGGGCGAACGGGUUGAGAACAGCCCUGUGGAGGAGGACGUGGGGACACUGGGAGGUGACAAAGCGGACAGGGGCUGUCUGUGUGCUCUCGCAGCCCGGAAAGCCAGUUGUGUCGUGUUGGAGCAGGUCCAGAGGAGGCCAUGGAGAUGGUGAGAGGGCUGGAGCAGCUCUGCUAUGGGGAGAGGCUGAGAGGUGGGUUGUGCAGUUGCAGAGACGCUGGACAGACCUUAUUGUGGCUUUUCAAUAUGUAUGAGGAAGAAAGAGAAUUUUUACCAAGGUCUGUAGUGACGAGACAAGGGGCAACAAUUGUGAACUGAAAGAGGGGAGAUUUAGGUUGCAAUUAAGGAAGAAAUGUUUUUAUGGUGAGGGUGGUGAGACACUGGAAGAGUUUGUGGAUGCCCCAUCAUGGGGGUGUUCAAGGUCACGUUGGACGGGGCUCUGAGCACCCUGAGCUGGUAAAGAUGUCCCUUCCCAUGGCAGGGGUGGCACUGGGGGAGCUGGGAAGGUCCCUUCAACCCAAACUGUUCUGUGGGUCUGUGGUGUGAAGUUGUUGACGAUAAAUGCUGUUGGGAGUGAGAAAUGCUGCUGGGAGGCUCAAAGCCUUUGGGGGUGACGUUUGGGUUCAGACCGAGACUUGUGUGAGGGGUGUCCCCUUGAGGGGUGUCUCUUGGAGGGGUGUCCCCUUGAGGGCUGUCUGUUGGAGGGGUGUCCCCUUGAGGGCUGUCUGUUGGAGGGGUGUCCCCUUGAGGGGUGUCUGUUGGAGGGGUGUCCCCUUGAGGGGUGUCUCCUCACUUGUCCAAACCUGUUGCUGUGCUGGGAGAUUCAUCUCUGCUCUCCAGACCCCGUGUAUCACUGGCGAUGAGUUUCCCAUAACAUCUCAGCUCAAGUUUCUCAUUUUGGGGUUUGGCUCAGUUGUAACUCCUUCUGUAAACUGUUAUUUCGGAAAAUUUGAUUAAAAAUCCCUAGAGUGGUACGAGUAGCUUGGCUGUUUAGGGAAGGAAUGCUGCAGGAGCGGUUCCUGCGUGUGUGUCCUGCAGGUGGGUAACCCAAACCAGCUUUUAUUUCCCUAUUCCAGGCGAGGUGAGCAUGUAAUUUUGGUUUAUGAGCGUGGGCCUGGCUCUGCUCAGCAGAACCCCCCAAAGUUGUGUUUAUUUGUAAAAGGCUCUUCAAGACGCCAUUCUACCAUUGCUUUUGUUUUAUUGAUGUUCCAACAUCUGGACUGUUUUCGUAAAUGUGCUUUCAUCCAAGAAGAGGCUAAGGGAGUGUGAACUGUUCUGAUAAAGCUGCCAAAAAUAAUCAUUGCUUGAGACUAAGUACCACUCUCGGGGCUUUCUCCUGUAAAACAAUUUGUGGGUGAGGACAACGAAUGACCCAGGGAAGCCCCCAAAUGCUCCAGUUGGUUUUUCCUGCUGGGGGUUCCAGGACUGAAAAUUCAUGUUUGAGUUUGUCACGCGCUGCGUGAGAUGAUGUGAUCGGGUCAGGGAAGUUGCAGGAGAUGGUGGUUGAGGUGGCCAGGUCCUUGAGAGGAGGAUCUGCCCACAGCCAGCUGGUGGGAACCAUCUGGAACUUGAUGAUGCAGAUGUCCAUCUUCCUCAGCCUUGUAACGACUGAGCAUAGUGGUUGGACUUGAUGACCUUGAGGGUCUUUUCCAACCAAAAUGAUUCUGUGACUUGCUCUUCCUCCUUCAAGAUUCUGAUCUUGUGAUAAGCUGAUAGGGCGAGUCCGAUGGCUGGCAUGGCAUUGAGUGUUGAGGUGACAACGGGAUAUGGCUGAUCUUUAGGGUUUUGGAUGAAAAGUAGGGUGGUGCAGCCUGGGAAGUGCUGAGAUGCAGCAACCUUAACUCUGCCCCUUCAUCAUCCUCCCUCUGGCAGCGUUCGCACUCAUCAUCACGUGUCCCUAUGCUGUCACUUUGACAACUUGUGUCUCGCUGAGACAUGGAGGUCUACGUGGUAUGAGUUCUCCAAAGUUACGUGGCCACGAAGCAAAAUAUUGUUUUUGAUGCCGUCUGCUUUGUAGGGGACGGAGUUGGGUCUGCCGGAGGGGGUUUAACGUGCUCCCCUGGCUUUGUGCUGCACCACGCCUCUCCCAAAGGACACGGGGCUGGUUGUAUGAAUUCACAAUUAACUGAAUACAGCCGCUUCUUAAGGUGUUGUUAAGAAAAGUGUGCUUGUAGGAGGGCUGUCUGCUGAACCCCUUGGCUGGUGGCUUGCACGGCAAGCCUCAGGGGUCACGUUUUGCAGGUGGAACUUGUGCGGUGAGAACGUUGGUGGCUGUCAUGUCCCGUUGAGUAGCACACAAAGCCCAACCUUGAAUGUGCAGCUGCUCGGGUUCUCUUUAAGACAACCAGCAGCUUUGGAGGGUGAGUGCAACCCGGGGAUGAUGCCACCACCAGCGGGUGGAGGAUUCAUGUCACAACCAGGAGUUUGGGUACUAACCUGGAAGAGAUUGUGUCAGUGGGACAACGUGUUCCUUCUCGGGGGCUCCUCGUGACUCUAGAAACAUGAACUCUGGGAAGCACCAGGCGCUUGGUGGCUCCUCAAAGCCGUGUCCAUGCUGGCGAAUGGCGCGGGACACGACCCAAGCUCUGGAGACUCGCUGGAGGGCUCCAGCUGGCUGGGAACUCAACAGGGCCCAGAGCCGCCGCUGUCCCGCCUAGGCCAAGGAUUCUUAGGGGUUUAAUUGACCCGUCGGGGCUGCGAGGCCGUUCCAGCGACACGUUUAUUGGUGUCAGCAGCACCGAGCACCCGCCGCAGCUUCUGCAGCUUCUGCCUUCCCGGGGGGCAAACGCUGCGCGUUUCCUCUGGACCCAAGUGAAAAUCUCCACGUAGGUUUGUCAUCGGGCUUUUGUGAAAGUUCAGCCACAGGUCUUCAUCUUGUUCCUCCAGUGUAUUUUGGAUUGAAGCGUGGUCAGUUUGGUCCUUCCUCUUACUCAAGCCUUCUCUGCGCAGGGGGAAUCUUUUAUCUGUGUGUGUUUUUCAUCAGCAGCGUUGGCUGGAGCACAGAUCGCAGGGCAUUGGUUCCUCCUAAGCCAGGUGUGAAGAACUGAGACCGCAGCUGUGCCAAGCAACUAAAUAAUCCCGAAAUGCACGUUUGCAUUUUCUUAUCUCCUCCGUAAAUCUGUCUGGACGUCAGGAGUAGACUGUUCCACCUGUUCUACCACCUUGUAGGCUGCUCUCCUCAAUGGGUGUCAGGACACAGCAGAUAUUUGGUUACGAUCUCUUGGAAGAUGGGAGAUCUCACCAGGUUCAUGUUCAGCCUGAGCUUGGGCACAGGAGCUUUUGUGCUUCCUUGCGUGAUCAUCUGAGCUUGUCUGCAACACUGGGACGUGUCCUACCUGCCUCUGGCCACCUCUUCCCACACUGAUACUCAACCAUUUGUGCAACCGUGUGGGGAACUGGGUCAGGGAUAUGAUCCAAUUAAAAGCUACACCGAGCAACAUCAAAAGCGGGUUUGAACCAGGCGGUUUCCCAGCGCUUGUGUUGGUAAAAGGGCUUUGGGCCAGGGGAGGGAUGGACGGCUGUGGUUGGGCCGUGGUGGAUGGUUCCUUCUGAUGACGGUGCUGGCCCAUGAAGACUCGUUGGACACGGCCUGUGUUGGUAGGCGACCGCAGGGACAGCAAACCCGACUCCUGCUGGGCUUCAUUUUCUUCCCGGAGAGCCCAGUCUCGCUCCCCGGCGGUUGGAUUGAUGUCUCAAGGCUCAUGGGGAGCCCUUGGCCACAUUUUCAUGGGCUCCUUCUCUCCCAAGGGUGCAGCUGUGGGUGCAGGGGGCUGUGCCGCACCCCGGGGGUUGCCUGCAGUAAUCCUGCCUAAUCCUUUAAUCUGUAUCAACACUGAUAGGUAUUAAAGCAGCAGAUAAGGUUCAGACGGUGGCUCAGCGAUAUCUCCACCCUCUUCCAGCUAAAUCGGGGCCGGUUGUGCUUUCUCUUAAGGGGGCCGUGCAGGUUUGCUGGGUUGGCUGGGGAGGGUGGAUUAGCAGCUCCUGUGUCGCCAGACAAGCCCGUCGUUCCAUCGACGGCCAUUGUGCGCUUGCCGGAAUGAACCCCUCCAGUGCGUGGAGCCAAGCUGGAGCAGCAGCUCUGCCGCCUCCUGCUCGUUGCCUGUGACGUCCACCUGGAUAUAAGCCUGAUUUGGCUGGAAACGCUUUGUGGAGCUCUCAGGCAGCAAACAUGAAUGUUUCUUGGCUCUUGGUGCUGUGUGCGGCUCCGGACGGGCGUCACCUCCUGCCCCACAUCCAGCCCAGGACCAUCACCUCCAUCUUCAUCCUCCUUAUCGCUUCUUUUUGGGCACCUUUCCUGAUGACCGAGGGCUGGGAUGUUCUCACUUCUACAAAUGCCACAGCGCUCUCCCAUGAAGGUGCUGGGACUCCACCGUAAUUACUGAGUAGCAAAUGAAGGUCGUUAGCACUUGGAAGAGCAGCUCGCGGUUGAAUUCCCCACACAAAAUGAACCAUCCCUGUUGGUUUUGCCAUUGUAGGCCCGUCCCCUGUUUCCCGUCCUCUUCCAGCUUCUCCCCAUGCUCAUGGGAUUGCUCCGAGUUUGCCACCCAUCCCCUCAGCAGCAAAGCCGUGGUUAAUCCUGCCCUUAAAUCCUUUAAGCUGUCAACAAACAACCCCCUUCUUCAACUUGUAGCACGCAAGCUGGACUUGGGACAGAGCCUGGCUCACAACCCCAGGCUUUUGUUGCUGUUCCCACAUCCUCAGCUCCUGGUCCCGUUUUUCCCAGCACCGGAGCAAUGGAUCUUAGGUGGAAAAAUAUUCCGGUUCGUAAUGACCCAGCGCUGGGUUCCCGGUGCGUUGUGUUUGGUGUCGCAGGUGAAGAUGUUGCUUGGAUCCAAGGAUCCUCCUGGCAGCAGGUGUUGGCCUUGCUUCUGGUCUACAUGAGCUGCUUGUGCAGCUGGUGGCACCAAAAUGGGCUCAAAAUCUCCACUAAAGCUUUUUCAAUAGACAGACUAUUGCGACACAUCGUUGCGUCGGUGGUCCACACGGAUGGUGCAUUGACAGUUUGGCUCUUCCAGGCUUGUUUAUUCCUUCGAAACACAAGGUUGUAUUGUUGGUUUGGGUCGUAUUUUCAUCAGGGAUUACGUUAGAUGGUUCGAUUAUUGCAUGUCUUUGUUUUGAAGAAUCUCAGUAUGCCCUCCUCGGAAAAUCUGCAUCCUCCGAGGCAUUUGGCAGAACCCAAGGGACCAAAAAAAAUCAGCGAGCGCUUCUCAAAGUCUCAGUCUUGAGUUUCUCUCCAAUGUAAUUUGGUUUCUUCUCUGAAACCUCUGGAUGAAACAGGCUGUGGAGGUGGUGGGGUUUGCACCACACUUGCUCUCCAGGUCUGUCAAACAAGCGCUGUGAACCUUUGCGGCUCCCUCAGGAAUAUCAAACGGCACCUUGCGCAGAGUCCCCGCGCUGGGGAUUAUUCGGGAAAACAGAAGGCAGGAAAAGAAGAGGUUAAUUUGGUGCUGGCAGCUCCAGAAACUCGUGUCCUCCAAGCCGUGGUUCAGCUCGGCUGGCUCAGGUGCAGGUGCUCCUCGGCUUAUCCCUCUGGUCUGGCAGAGGAGACGGGAUUUGGAGGAAAUACCGCGUUAAAUUUGAAGUUCCGAGUUAUUGAAAUAGGUGAUUUACAAAAAGAAAGAAA
This is a long non-coding RNA of Columba livia (rock pigeon), 15564 nucleotides long. RefSeq lists it as uncharacterized. Lineage: Eukaryota; Metazoa; Chordata; Aves; Columbiformes; Columbidae. The transcript is spliced from 2 exons. The record is from RefSeq and is a predicted model, not a curated record.